GACGAACGCUGGCGGCGUGCUUAACACAUGCAAGUCGAACGGAAAGGCCCUGCUUUUGUGGGGUGCUCGAGUGGCGAACGGGUGAGUAACACGUGAGUAACCUGCCCUUGACUUUGGGAUAACUUCAGGAAACUGGGGCUAAUACCGGAUAGGAGCUCCUGCUGCAUGGUGGGGGUUGGAAAGUUUCGGCGGUUGGGGAUGGACUCGCGGCUUAUCAGCUUGUUGGUGGGGUAGUGGCUUACCAAGGCUUUGACGGGUAGCCGGCCUGAGAGGGUGACCGGCCACAUUGGGACUGAGAGACGGCCCAGAAUCCUACGGGAGGCAGCGGUGGGGAAUAUUGCACAAUGGGCGGAAGCCUGAUGCAGCAACGCCGCGUGCGGGAUGGCGGCCUUCGGGUUGUAAACCGCUUUCGCCUGUGACGAAGCGUGAGUGACGGUAAUGGGUAAAGAAGCACCGGCUAACUACGUG
This 468-nucleotide ribosomal RNA is filed under the name uncultured bacterium. Its description in RNAcentral is "partial 16S ribosomal RNA". It matches the Rfam family "Bacterial small subunit ribosomal RNA", at positions 28 to 507 of the family's 1533-position model. The record is from RNAcentral.